AUCACAUGAAAUAAUACAAUAUGUUUUAAGAAACAUUUAUUUUUAAAUAGAUUCGACGCGCCCAUUCGACUCUCCACGCGCCUCCGAUAUCAAUCACCUGAAACUGUUGAAUAUGGGAUGAGCAUACAGGGUACACUCAGUGUGGGAACAUGCAAUAAUUGUCCAUGUUAAUAAAAUGGUAACACAUAUUGUCAUAACGUAACAUAACUUCCAUACGCACUGUGGCAACUCCAAGGACUUUAAUGUCCCGGACCCUAUAUAUGGAUCCCUGGCGACAAUAUAAUGGUUGCAACCCUGUAACGUGAAAUCGCAUUGUGGCAUACCAAGGACGGUGAAGUCCUGGACCAAUUAUGCUGGCCCCUAGCGAUAAAUAUUUUUACAACACAUACGGUAAACACAUAAUAUUAAAAUGGACAAAUAUUAACCACGUGCAUGUACUGAAAUAAAUCCCACACCUGGAAAUUUAACUUGAACUUGAACUUCAACUUGAAUGCUAACUUGAGUAAUACAAUUAAAAUUCAUAUCCUAGUCGCGCCGCACCUAGUCAGAUAAAUUCAAAUAAUAACAUAUAAGGGCCUAUUUGAACUUUAAAAUAAUUUAGAUUAUUGGAUCAUAUAAAAAUAAUAAAUUUAAGUAAUAAAAUAUAUUUUCUUAUAAAAAGAUUUGGGCUCAAAAUUUAGUUAAAAACUAAGUUUAAAUUAAUAAUUCAAGUCUAAAUAUAUUAUUAAAACAUCCUUUGAAAAAUAAUGCAAAUGCAAGACCAUGAAAAUUAAACUAUGAGCCCAAUUACUAAUUAAACUGAGCCCAACUAUCUUAAAUAAAUUGAGCCCAUUAGCCAGCCCAAGCCCAUUUCCCUUCCAUUCACCCUAAUUUAUAUUCACACCACACACAUACGCAGCGUAGCUCCCAUUUCCUCACUCUCUCUCUGCCGCUCUCUCCUCUCUUUCCUCUUCUCGGCCCUCUUCCUGCCGCCGCCACCGGACGGCAUCGCCGUCGCCGGAGUCGGCUGUCCUGGCUCCUCCCCCUCUUCUUUCUAUCUCCAUCUCACCCCACACUUCUCGCCCUCACUCUCCCUCUCUUCGUCGUCUCUCUCCAACGACCUCACCCCCGUGUCUACAGCCCCCCCUCUUUCCUUCGGCCGGUAGCAGCAGCCGCCAUCGUCGUUCCCACGUCGACAGCAGCGCCGCCUAGCCACCGCCUCCCUCAUCUCCUUCACCUCCUGGCCGACAGCAGCAGCGGGGCUGCCAUCGCCGCCUCCUGCUCCCUCUGUCUCGACCAGCAAGGCACGGCAGCGGUCGAGACCACAGCGCCGCCGCCCCUGUCUCCUUCCGCCGGCCGACGUGCAGCGCUGGCAAUACUGCUGCUCAACCGCCCCCUUGUUUCUAAGCCACCAUCCCUCUUCCACUUCUUCUAUCUCUAUUUCCCAUGUAAUAUAUAAGAUUUAUUCUAUUUUCUUUUUCAUGUAUUUAGCAAUAUAUAUAUAAAUUACAGAAAAAUAGAUGUAUGCAUGAUUGGAUUUUGAAAACAAAGUUUUUGAUGUUUAGCCUUGGUUUUGGCGAAAAUGCAGAAAAUUGUUGAUAUGCUUGAAAUGAAAUAACUUUUCAAAAGUUAUUAAAAUUACCAGCUUGAAUGAGUGAAGUAAAUCAGUUGCUGCGAAUUGGAAAUAUUUGAGUGAAUUUUUGUUGAUUUGUGAAUUUGAGAAUGAUACAUUGAUGUUUAAAUAGAUUGAAAUAUUUGACAUAGAACGUGUGAAAGUGUGAAAAGAGAUCAAUCAAACUUUGUUGCUUCAAAGUUUGCUGCUUCAAAAUUUGCUGCUGUGGAAAUCAAAUUUGGCUUGCUGUAUUUUCGAAAUAUUUCCAGAAAAUGAGAGAAGCUAAUUUUAUAAAAAAAGUGAGGCGGUGGAAAGGAUAAAAUGAAUUCCUUAUUGCACAAGAUUGACUAAAUAAAUUGGAUGGCUGAGGAGGAUCAAAUGAGAAAAUUGUGUAAAUGAGGCGGAAAAAAUACAUUCUAUGUAUCAUAAAAUUAUGGGCUUUUCAAUACUUUUACCCCAUGAAUACAAGUGAGGCCCAAACAAAUAGCCUACAAAAAUAUUUUAUACAAGGCCCAAAUUAUACUAAAAUGUUAAGAAUAAAAUUUAUAUUUAAUAAUAGCUAAUGUUUUAAAAUUAUGCAAAGUUACAUAAUAUAUUUGGCCCAACAUCAUAAAUCUGCUCCAAUAUAAAUAAGCUAUAAUUUAUUGAGGUCCAAAUUCAUAUAAAAAAAAUAUUUGGAAAAAUAAAGAAAAACUUGAUUAUUCCGAAAGUAUAGUUUUGCUUUGUAAAAUUUGCAGCGAUGAUGGUCAUAUUUAAAUAGGUAGUAAAUUACUUGUUCGUCAAAGAUUUGAAUGUGAAAGAAAUCAAAGUUUGCUGAUCAAAGUUUGCUGCUGGAAAUCAAAUUUGCUAUCAAAGUUUGCUUUUGAAUCUUCUGUUUGCUUUUGAAUUGAAGAUGUUGGGGAUUUUGGAAUUUGAGAGUAAAAUGAAUUGUGAGAGUUUAAAGAUUAUUAAAAAUUUCUCUGCACAAAAUAUGGGAUACAGUAGUGAACUGGAGAAGAAUGAAAAAUUUACAGAAAUAAUAAAAUUACCUUGUGCAGAGAAAAGAGCACAAAUAAUUUUAAAGCUUGCUGUGUUUUUGGCAUGUUUCGAAAAAUCAGAUGAUGAAGGC
Molecule: long non-coding RNA, 2699 nt
Filed under: Salvia miltiorrhiza (redroot sage)
Lineage: Eukaryota; Viridiplantae; Streptophyta; Magnoliopsida; Lamiales; Lamiaceae
Description: long non-coding RNA (SMIL_LNC008189)
Source: RNAcentral